UACGUAGGGUGCAAGCGUUGUCCGGAAUUAUUGGGCGUAAAGAGCUCGUAGGCGGUUUGUCGCGUCUGCUGUGAAAACCCGAGGCUCAACCUCGGGCCUGCAGUGGGUACGGGCGGACUAGAGUGCGGUAGGGGAGAUUGGAAUCCCUGGUGUAGCGGUGGAAUGCGCAGAUAUCAGGAGGAACACCGAUGGCGAAGGCAGUGGUCUGGGCCGAUACUGACGCUGAGGAGCGAAAGCGUGGGGAGCGAACAGG
This 253-nucleotide ribosomal RNA is filed under the name uncultured bacterium. Its description in RNAcentral is "partial 16S ribosomal RNA". It matches the Rfam family "Bacterial small subunit ribosomal RNA", at positions 524 to 776 of the family's 1533-position model. The record is from RNAcentral.